RNAcentral lists this ribosomal RNA (49 nucleotides) under uncultured Candida. RNAcentral describes it as "partial 28S ribosomal RNA". The record is from RNAcentral. Lineage: Eukaryota; Fungi; Ascomycota; Saccharomycetes; Saccharomycetales.
CGUAAGACUACCCGCUGAACUUAAGCAUAUCAAUAAGCGGAGGAAACCC